Molecule: ribosomal RNA, 446 nt
Filed under: uncultured bacterium
Lineage: Bacteria
Description: partial 16S ribosomal RNA
Rfam family: Bacterial small subunit ribosomal RNA
Source: RNAcentral
CCUACGGGAGGCAGCAGUAGGGAAUUUUCGGCAAUGGGGGGAACCCUGACCGAGCAACGCCGCGUGAACGAAGAAGUUAUUCGUAAUGUAAAGUUCUUUUAACAGGGAAGAAAGAGACAUUUGACGGUACCUGAUGAAUAAGCUCCGGCUAAAUACGUGCCAGCAGCCGCGGUAAUACGUAGGGAGCGUGCGUUAUCCGGAAAUAUUGGGCGUAAAGGGUGCGUAGAUGGCAUAGUAAGUCUUUGGUAAAAAUGCUGGGCUCAACCCAGUAGGGCAAAAGAUACUGCAAAGCUAGAGUAUGACAGAGGCAAGUGGAACUAGAUGUGUAGCGGUAAAAUGCGUAGAUAUAUGUAAGAACCCCAGUGGCGAAGGCGGCUUGCUGGGUCGAUACUGACAUUGAGGCACGAAAGCGUGGGGAGCAAACAGGAUUAGAUACCCUAGUAGUC